Molecule: transfer RNA, 58 nt
Filed under: Camelus bactrianus (Bactrian camel)
Lineage: Eukaryota; Metazoa; Chordata; Mammalia; Artiodactyla; Camelidae
Also listed under: 3 other names
Rfam family: tRNA
About the family: Transfer RNA (tRNA) molecules are approximately 80 nucleotides in length. Their secondary structure includes four short double-helical elements and three loops (D, anti-codon, and T loops).
Source: Rfam by way of RNAcentral
UAGCUCAAGUGGUAGAGUGCAUGUUUAGCAUGCAUGAGGUCCUGGGUUCAAUCCCCAG